UAUAUAUAUAAUUUCACAUAAACAGAAUUAAAUGUUUUAAAACAGCUUUGGUCACCUGACGGAAAAAUUAUCGUAAAAAAAAAAUUUUUUAAACAAAAUCCCCUUAUUUUAAGCUUUCAGAAAAGGAAAGUAUUCGAAAAAUUAUUUAUAUAAUUUCGUUUAUAUAUAUAUAUAUAUUCAGAAUACAAAUUUCCUGUUUGUUUCGGAGGGCUGAACAAAUUCAGGACAAACUAUUCCAUUUUUAAACGGAUGUACAUAAUUCGGUGACGUCACACAACUGUUAACAAACAUGUGCCGCAGGUUUAGCAUUUGUUACCAUUAUUAUAUUUUCAUAAAAGAAGAAAGAAGGCGGGUCGUAAAAUGAAUUACUGGAAAAUUGCAUUAUCGUCAUGUCCCGAGAUAAAUUUAGUAGUACAGUAUAUAUUUUCAGUCUAUACAUAUUAGAAAGCUGCACUGUUUAAUAGUAUCGUAAGUCCCAUAGUAACAGGUACCAUUCAUAAAAUUUUAAAGUUUUCUUUAAUUCUAGUUUUGUUACUAUAACGCAGAUCAUGUAGAAUUCAAAUAUCAUCAGACCAACCGAGUUUUUCUUAUAUCGAGGAAGCAUUUGGGUGAGUAUUCUUUCAAAUGGACAAAUCUUCCACAGUGCGCCUAUAUAGAUUACAUCCAUAUUCAAGUUCAUGAUUAGCAGACUUAUUUGUAAGCGUGUUAUCUGCGUCAUAAACUUGAGGCUACUUUCUUUUUAGAUAAGGUUUGGAAUAUAAUAACUCUCAGGUAUGAAUCAGGCGGAUGCUCUACUAAUUCUAUAAUAGUACAGGUGGCAAACGUCAUAUAUAUGAGCCGUCGAAUCAGAUAGCAGUAAGGGAGAUUUUUAUUGCCAUACGUAGCAUAGACUUUGGACCAUGUACUUCUACCUGUCGCUUCAAACUCUGCAACUUUGGUUCGAUUAGGUUCAUUCAAACGAUAAGCUUAACUUCUUUUUUGCCAUAUGGAAGCAACAAUUUCCAGUAUAUGCCAUAAUUCUUCAGUUACGUUGACUUUUUACGUUAUUUAUUUAUUUUUUUCAAUUUAUUUUUUUUUUAAAAAAAUGUCUCCCACUGCGAUAAGGGAGUUGCAUAUUUUUCGAGUAUCCAGGAUACUCUUUUCGAGUCAGGCUAGCAUAAAUCCUGGUUUCUCUAUUCUGGUUAAUUCAGUCGUUUCCCGUGAGUAAACAUAGUGCCAUCCAUCCUGUACGUUUGUAUAUAAUA
RNAcentral lists this long non-coding RNA (1244 nucleotides) under Androctonus crassicauda. The record is from RNAcentral. Lineage: Eukaryota; Metazoa; Arthropoda; Arachnida; Scorpiones; Buthidae.